CCUUGACUCAAGGGGGUUGGGAAGUGUUCAGUCUGGGUAUCAAUCCUGGUCUUCCCAUUUAGAGAGCUGUGCGCCUUUGGGGGUCACCCAGCCUCUGCCUGACCCUUGCAGCGAUAGGCAGUGGGGGAAAGUGAGGCUUCAGCAGGGGUCCACUAAGCUGUCCCUGGUAUUGGUGGCAGAGCGGGAGACACUGGAUGAGCACUGAGAACAACAGCAGAGGCCAAGAAGGCUGACGGCUGUCACGACAAGGAGCAGUUCCAUCGCUGCUCUGGCAGCACCUGGUAUGGACAGACGUCUGCUGAAGGAGCGGAGUAACGAAUGCAGUAAUGAGCACAGAGAGGUUCAAAAUCUAUCCCAAGGCCAGAGUAGUUGAGCUAGAACUCAAAUCCUGCUCAGCCUGUUACUGAAAACUCGGCCACUUGUUCAUGAGGCUGAAUCAGAAGAAUGAGGACAAAUGGUUUGAGGAGGAAGGAAAGAGAUGUUUUAUUACUUUGCCAGCAA
Non-coding RNA from Microcebus murinus (gray mouse lemur), 501 nucleotides. The record is from RefSeq and is a predicted model, not a curated record. Lineage: Eukaryota; Metazoa; Chordata; Mammalia; Primates; Cheirogaleidae.